GAUGUUUCUUGCUUGUCCUUUUGUAGGAAGAUCCACAGCUAUUAUCACUUAACCAGCAGACCUGAUUUCAUCUCAGAUACUGGAAGUCCUUUAACUCCAGGCAAGGAGUGGGCGGACUAAAAUUGCUAUUACACUAAGCCUGGCAAACGAAAUGGGUCUCUUUCUUCUCCCACAUUCAGUAGCAACUCAGCUGACAUCAACUUGGUUGCCUGUGAUUUACAACAGUGUGGGAGGAUAACAGAGCCCGUGUGUUUAAUAGGCUCUAGGUGCAGGUGGCCAGUCCUAUGUGAGGGGCUGGAUCUGAGACUUGCAAAGUAGCGCUGAUGAGCCACAGACCAGACAGCCUUUGGUAAUGAUGUUCCUGGAGGAGCAGAGUGCUGGGUCCUGGGAAGCAGGAGGAUGGGGUAUCAGUGACUGCUUAGGUUUCCCUACCUUCAGGAGAAGGACCCACCUACCUUGUGCUACUACUCAGUGGUAUUCACAUGGAGAACAUGAUGACUCUGUUUUGAGAUGCUGUAGGCAGUGCCACGCACUAGGACAGCUUGAGUCCUGCCUGCAUGUGGGCAAGAGGUCCUGCUUCCAACAAAGUUUGAACUCCAAAGGGGCCAGUGCCUUGUGGGAGUGAGCUGCCAACUCAACCUGUGCCCAGUGUCUGCUUUCCUGCCCCCAGGACUUUGGUGCAAGCUGGGUGUUAUUAGCUUGCUUCUGUGUGAGGCAGUGCUUAAGGGUGGUAUAUGCACUUCGGCUCAUUAAAGCUCAUGCCCUGGUGAUAGGCAAUGUUCUUUCUGUUCUCUAUGAGAGAAUAGGAAGCUAGGUGCAAAGAUGUUAAGCAGAUGAAGGUCAUGUAAAUGGUAUUUAUCCAGGUGCUCUUCCUCUAGCACUCAUGCUGUUCUGUUUCAGCAUCAUUGCCAGCACCGGUGUUAGGCAUCCUAAUGUAUAGACAAGACAGUAACAUCUUUAUCUUGUCUAGCAUAGACAAAAACUCUAGAUACCCUGCUGAUAAAAAUUCUGCUGGCAGAUGUCUUAUCACUUCUCCCUACAGCCACAUGGAAAAAAGAAGAAGAAAAAAAAAAAAGAAGGAGAUGCUCUAGUAGAUGAGAUUUGGCCUGUGGACUUCUCCCUCCCACUGCUGUACAUGGCCUGCUCUCCGGCACUCCCUGCAAAUGCUAAAACCAUGCUUGAAAAUCCUUUGUGGCAGCACUUGCAGAGCAGUGUAGGGCUCGCUCCUGGCAGUGGUUGCUGGAGGUGGCAGCA
RNAcentral lists this long non-coding RNA (1254 nucleotides) under Anas platyrhynchos platyrhynchos (common mallard). RNAcentral describes it as "lncRNA (ENSAPLG00000022957.1)". The record is from RNAcentral. Lineage: Eukaryota; Metazoa; Chordata; Aves; Anseriformes; Anatidae.